This 525-nucleotide long non-coding RNA is filed under the name Trifolium pratense (red clover). RNAcentral's name for it is "long non-coding RNA (TPRA_LNC011191)". Lineage: Eukaryota; Viridiplantae; Streptophyta; Magnoliopsida; Fabales; Fabaceae. The record is from RNAcentral.
CCCAAAAUCAUUCAUUCUUUCAAUUGUCACCCCAAACUUGAAGGUUGCUAUUCCAUGAGCAACCCCAAACUUAAAAGUUUGCCAAGACACAAUUAGAAAUGCCGACCUAACUCCAAGUAAGGUGGGUAUAUUAUAUAUAUCAUUCAUUUUUUGUUUUUUUUUGUUUUUUUUUUUCUUUUGUAUUGUGGCUCAGUAACACAAGAAAAGGGUAUCAGGCUCAAAGGGGUUUAACAAAGGAUAAUCAUUAUUCACAGGGUGGUCAGAAAAGGCUCAGGGUACCAAACAACUUGCCUCAGUGUGUGUAUAAAUUACAAGUAAACUGUUAAGAACAAGUGCAAGUUCUGAAGAAAUAACAUAUGCUGGAAUGCUCUCAAACAAAAGAAUAAAAGUGUUUGGCUUCGAAUUCUCACCAGUUUAGGAUAUCUGAAAGGUGAAAAAUCAAAGUACCACCAAAAACCUUUGCAGUGUCAAAAUCCUCCAAAGCCAACCUAUGAAACUGCCGCAACAGAAAAAGGCAUCCAAUAU